AGAGUUUGAUCAUGGCUCAGAGCGAACGCUGGCGGCAGGCCUAACACAUGCAAGUCGAACGGCUCUUCGGAGCAGUGGCGGACGGGUGGGUAACGCGUGGGAACGUGCCCUUUGGUUCGGAACAACACAGGGAAACUUGUGCUAAUACCGGAUGAGCCCUUUGGGGGAAAGAUUUAUCGCCAUUGGAGCGGCCCGCGUUGGAUUAGGUAGUUGGUGGGGUAAAGGCCCACCAAGCCGACGAUCCAUAGCUGGUCUGAGAGGAUGAUCAGCCACACUGGGACUGAGACACGGCCCAGACUCCUACGGGAGGCAGCAGUGGGGAAUCUUGCGCAAUGGGCGAAAGCCUGACGCAGCCAUGCCGCGUGAAUGAUGAAGGUCUUAGGAUUGUAAAAUUCUUUCACCGGGGAAGAUAAUGACGGUACCCGGAGAAGAAGCCCCGGCUAACUUCGUGCCAGCAGCCGCGGUAAUACGAAGGGGGCUAGCGUUGCUCGGAAUUACUGGGCGUAAAGGGCGCGUAGGCGGACAGUUUAGUCAGAGGUAAAAGCCCAGGGCUCAACCUUGGAACUGCCUUUGAUACUGGCUGUCUUGAGUUCGGGAGAGGUGAGUGGAAUGCCGAGUGUAGAGGUGAAAUUCGUAGAUAUUCGGCGGAACACCAGUGGCGAAGGCGACUCACUGGCCCGAUACUGACGCUGAGGCGCGAAAGCGUGGGGAGCAAACAGGAUUAGAUACCCCGGUAGUCCAA
RNAcentral lists this ribosomal RNA (742 nucleotides) under uncultured bacterium. RNAcentral's name for it is "bacterial SSU rRNA". It matches the Rfam family "Bacterial small subunit ribosomal RNA", at positions 8 to 798 of the family's 1533-position model. The record is from RNAcentral.